This 3136-nucleotide long non-coding RNA is filed under the name Sus scrofa (pig). RNAcentral's name for it is "lncRNA (ENSSSCG00050076196.1)". The record is from RNAcentral. Lineage: Eukaryota; Metazoa; Chordata; Mammalia; Artiodactyla; Suidae.
ACCGGAGACUGGGUGCAUAUUCACCUGCUGAGCAUCGUCCUCCUGCCCCCUCACGAUGUCCCUCCCAGACCUGGAAAUGCAGGGACCCUGGAGCGUAAACGCCACUGAGGAGCUUACGAUGAAACCAACACCUUCGUGCUUCAGGAAGACGCGGGCCCUAGAGCAGAAAUAACCGAAGCCCCACGUUCCAGUCGCGGGAUGCGUGAUGCGGGAGGGAGAUGGAUGGACUGAGCCAGAUGGACAAGGGUUUUCAGACUUGCCAGGUUUACUUUGCCCUCAGCACCCAGCAUCCUUCCCUGAGCGGCCGGAGAGAACGGCGGGGGAUGCGGAUGAGGCACCCAGGCUUCAGUGUAAAGGUUCGACCACUUCCCGGAGCCUCGGUUCACCGUGUUGGUGGUUCCAGAACCAUCUCCUGGCUCCCACUCCCCUGCCCCUUGCCCUACAGCACCCACAGGCGCACCCUUGCUGCUGAGGAGCCUGGGCCGUCCGUGCUCUUCCGCAAAGCCUGCAUUCACCAGACGCCAACUUCGCGGCAGAAUCCCGGAGCCUGACUGUGGACCAGGCACAGAAACCCCGGAUGUCGUCCUUCCCUCUGGGCGCCGGGCCGGGGCCUCAGGUGCAUGUGCACACUCGCUGGGAAGCUGCUGAAGGGCGGUUUCUCCGCUCAGAACUCGAGGAAACGCCCGGCCCUGUGGCGGCAGAAGCACCGGCCGCCCCGGCCCUCCCGCUGCCCGGCUGGGCCGCUGCUGUCCCCCGUCCCCGGGAAGGUCUGUCCCGAGGCGGAGCCGGUGUGGCGGGUUACUGCUUUCGUGAGAUGCUCCGAGACAGCCACGGCCAAAGGCAAAAUACAUGGGAAAGGCUGCGGACUCCGCCGCACCCGCGGCCUUUGGGAGAUAACGUGGCGAAAGAGCAUUUUUAAAAAAACCCCCUGGCAACUUUUUUUUCCGGCAUUUUUAACCCCGGUGCUUUCUGAGGCGAUAUCGAUUAACAACCAGCAGAGGCAGAGCCUCGGAAGACACGCGCUGGAAGGCGCCGCCGGCGACCAGGCGCGGCAGGUGGCGGAGGCGGGAAGGAGGAAGCGGUUCUGGGGGCGCGUCCCUCGCAGGGGUUGCAGCACGUGCCAGGUGGGGGGAACCCACGUGGGACAGGAAACCCCAGGUCCUGAAAAGGUGGCACCGCCUCCUGACAGAACCCGAGCAGCCGUCAAGGGUAACUGGUGCCGCAUGGGGCAGGUGGCUCCGUUUGACAAGAGCUAAGAUGGCUGAGAAGACCAAGAAAAUCCCAAAUCGAAAGAAACAGGACCCCCCGUCCACGAAGACAUUAGCUGCCUCUUCACACAGACAAGAGGUGAACUCUUUCGGGGCGGCCCCUCGGCCCCUCGGUCCAUCCCUCGAAGCUCCUUUCGCGUUCUCACCACCGUCCAGACAAAUCCCCCGUCUGGACCCCGAGAACUCCCAGGCCGCGGUGUUUCCAGCAAGUGCAGGGUGGGGCGCGGGAUAGACGCCACGGUGUGUGUCUGCGGCGCACAAUUUGCUGUUCCAACCCGCCGACGUGUCCCUUGCAUCUGCCACCACAAAGUCAUGACCGUACCCACCCCUCCCGAAAUAUGCUGGCAUUCCGGCAAUUUCUCCUCCCCUACCCCCCUCUCCCGCUGCUGGUCCUGAGGAAACCGCGGGUCUGUUUCUGUGGCUGAAACAUCGUUUGCAUUUUGUGCGGAGUUGCGUCCUAGGGACUCUCGGUCGGACUUCUUCCACUGGUUUUCAGCAUGAUAAUUUGGAGAUUCAUCAGCGCGGCAGCACGCGUUCAUACCUGUUUUUACUUCCGGUGAGCGUGCCAUGGGGAGGUUAUCCGUUCCUCUGUCGGCGACACCGAGGCUGUUUCCAGUACUUGGCUUUUACAAAUAGGGUUGCUAUGAACAGGUGUAUGCAGGGCUUUGACCAGGUACACGUCUUCGUUUUACUGGGUUAAACGCCUAGGAUGAAAAACACAGCAGGUUUUGCAUGUAUUCGUCUUUAAGAAACUUGCAGGCUGUGUUCCAGAGGGACGGCUACUUCAGUGCCCACCAGCACGCGGAAGAGUUCCAGUCGCUUCACCGCCUCACCCACACUGGGUGUGGUGGGUCUGUUGGGCGUGAGCACUGUCUAGGGUGGGGUGUGCGCUCCCCGUAGUUUUCGCCUGUGUUUGCCGUGACGACCAAUGCCACCGACACCCUAAUUUGAAAGACCUGUGCUGUCUCUGGGGAAGUGUCUGCUCAACCACCUGGUCUACUUUCAGCUGGCUCUUUCUCUCCCGACUAAUGGGUGUUCAGUGGCCUGUCUGUUCUGAGUACGGUCCUGGUGAGAUGCAGGCUUUUGAGGUGUCUUCUGCCGCUCUUCCACCCCCUUGAUGUUUUUCUUCAAAGGCUUCUCCCUCGGCUCAGUUCUGCGGCGGUGACGUCCAGGAGGCCGCAUGCAGACCCCAGGUCAGCCAGGUGCCACUCUCUCCCGGCUUUCUGAGGGACGGAGCCUCCGGGGGGCCUUGUAGCUCUGUGCACGUGAGGGUGACAGCCUGGGUCCCCUCGCUCAGCAGAGGGGAAAACGCCGAAGUGCUGGGAGAGGAGAAGCAACGCUGAGUGACUGAGGGAGCCAGGGUUUGCAGCGAUGGGAACUGUCAGGAAUGUGCUGUCUUAAUGCAGAAGUGGAAUCGAUCCCGGGCCUGGCCCGCAGCAGGCAAAGAGGCCUCCUUCCUGGAGGGGGACGGGAGCGCGAGCGAGGCCAAGGCGGUGCAGGUGGGAGGGUGGGCUCACCGGGACAUCUGCACUCGGAGUCCCCGGAGCCCUCCGGGUGCUAGGGCGAGUUCAGGGGUCUCUCCCCGUCCCUCGCUGUCCCCCAGGAGCCCUUCCAGAGCCGCAGGCUCCCAUCCAAGGGGAAGCGCUUCCUAGACGAAAACGACUCUCCCGUAGAGCGCGCGUUCCAAAGUGGUCAUUAGAGAGCAUGGAAAACUCCUCCUGGAAAGAGCUGGAAAGUUCUCAUGGAAACUAAGUUGGACUCGCACAUUGGAAAUCAGUCACCUGCGAUAUUUAAAAAUGAAGCUAAGCUGUCUGAGUGUACAUUUCAGAAAUGCAGCUGGAGCUGCCCAAUAAAAAUAUUUAAAACAU